RNAcentral lists this long non-coding RNA (1319 nucleotides) under Gossypium barbadense (sea-island cotton). Its description in RNAcentral is "long non-coding RNA (GBAR_LNC004930)". Lineage: Eukaryota; Viridiplantae; Streptophyta; Magnoliopsida; Malvales; Malvaceae. The record is from RNAcentral.
AGAAUAAAACAUGGCUUAAGGAUCAUUUAUUGAGUGUCUAACACAUUGUAAGGCCCAAGUUUAGCCCAGGCCCGUACAAACACAAAACACAAAAGAAAAAAUUAUUAUAAUAAAAAUAUUAUAACAGUCUAAAUUUAAAGGUCUAUUUACAAAUUUUCGGGCCUAAACCAAACCAAACCCAAGCAUUAAAUACCAAACUAACCCCUAACCCAAUAAACCUAACCCGAAUAGCCUAAUAAUCCUAACCCAAGGAACCCAAAAGCCCAAAUGUAGAAAUGGCCAAAUGGCCCAAAUGACCCAAAUUUUGGUUUCAGAAAGGGAAACCCUAGCAGCAAUGAGCGCUGUAGCCCGCAGCCCACAGCACCGUAAGACCGCCACGAGAGACCUCUGUACGCCCUACGCCGAGUGCCACGCACACCUCUGUAUGCCCCACAGCUAGCCCCGUAGCCUAUACCUGCACACCAAACGCAAGAGGACAACAGCAAAUACAAAAAAAAUAGAAAAUUUUUUAUUUUUAUUUGAUUUUUUAUUUUCGGCUAUAAAGCCAAGAGAUUUCAUUUUUGUAAGGUUUACCCACACAUAAUAAAGAAAAAGCAAUCAAAAAUAGCAAAGGUGAUUUCGAGUUUUUUCUCCUUCCCUCUCGAUUUAUUUUCUUUUUGGUUGGUUCGAUUUUUUAGUAUGUGAAUCGACACCGAUGAAAGCCCAAAUACCUCGUAGAUGCGAGGUAAGGGCGAGGGGUCGAACAGUGUUGAAAGCUUCCUUGUUCUAUGAACCUUUCUUCGUUUUUUUCUUUAAAAAUAACAUGGGAUUUGAAGUUUUUUUCAAAUAAAGAAGAAAAGGAGAACGAAUACACUCACUAAAUUCCUUUAGGCGAGGUCAAGCACCUUCAGUGGCGGGAUCGGGGUACUGUUGCGCGCUAUUGGUCAUCAGUUGUGAUGGUGGUUCGACGGGUGCGGCAAAAUAAGCCCUAGCAGAAUGGUGCCCUUGUUUUUUAAAGCAAAAGACUGGUUAUGUUUAAAAAGAAAAUGAAUAAAAAUAAGGGUUUAAAGGCUAAAUUAAAAACAGCGGCGUUCAAAAAGGGUAAAGAUCCGUGUGUUGACCCGAUUAGCAGGCCGGAUCCGUGCGCCUUUGCUUAAAUUGGGAAAUUUGCGCGCGUGGCCCUUCUCCUUCGUGCUAAUUUUGAAUUAGGUCGUAUUUACACUUUAUUUGUUUUUUUAAAUUUCACCUGAAAUUAGGGUAUCGUAUCAAUUUGAUUCCGGGCCUAAACAAUGCGUUUUGGGAUUUAGAUUAUUUAUUGCUUUAGUCCUUGUGUAUUCGCG